CGAGUCCGAGUCUCCACGGAGACGAAGUGGCGGUCAUCCAGCUUCCUAGAAAAGCUCUAACCACGUUAAUCUUUAGUUGCCUGUACCCGAAACCGACACGGGUAGGGGGGUAGAGAAUACCAAGGGGCGCGAGAUAACUCUCUCUAAGGAACUCGGCAAAAUGACCCCGUAACUUCGGGAGAAGGGGUACCACUGAGAAGUGGUCGCAGUGAAGAGGCCCAGGCGACUGUUUACCAAAAACACAGGUCUCCGCCAAGUCGCAAGACGAAGUAUGGGGGCUGACGCCUGCCCAGUGCCGGAAGGUUAAGGAAGUGGGUUAGGGAUUCGUCCCGAAGCUGACGACUGAAGCCCCGGUGAACGGCGGCCGUAACUAUAACGGUCCUAAGGUAGCGAAAUUCCUUGUCGGGUAAGUUCCGACCCGCACGAAAGGCGUAACGAUCUGGGCGCUGUCUCGGAGAGAGGCUCGGCGAAAUAGGAUUGUCUGUGAAGAUACGGACUACCUGCACCUGGACAGAAAGACCCUAUGAAGCUUUACUGUAGCUUGGAAUUGGGUUCGGGCUUGGUUUGCGCAGGAUAGGUGGGAGGCGAAGAAGAUUUGCUUGUGGGUGAAUCUGAGCCAACGGUGAGAUACCACUCUAACCAGGCUAGAAUUCUAACUUCAACCCGUCAACCGGGGGAAGGACAGUUUCAGGUGGGCAGUUUGACUGGGGCGGUCGCCUCCUAAAAGAUAACGGAGGCGCACAAAGGUUCCCUCAGGCUGGUUGGAAAUCAGCCAACGAGUGCAAAGGCAGAAGGGAGCUUGACUGCGAGACCUACAAGUCAAGCAGGGUGGAAACACGGUCUUAGUGAUCCGACGGCACCGAGUGGAAGGGCCGUCGCUCAACGGAUAAAAGUUACUCUAAGGAUAACAGGCUGAUCUCCCCCAAGAGUUCACAUCGACGGGGAGGUUUGGCACCUCGAUGUCGGCUCAUCGCAACCUGGGGCGGAAGUACGUCCCAAGGGUUGGGCUGUUCGCCCAUUAAAGCGGUACGUGAGCUGGGUUCAGAACGUCGUGAGACAGUUCGGUCCAUAUCCGGUGUAGGCGCAAGAACAUUGAGGGGAGUCUUCCUUACGAGAGGACCGGGAAGAACGCACCGCUGGUGUACCUGUUAUCGUGCCAACGGUAAACGCAGGGUAGCCAAGUGCGGAGUGGAUAACCGCUGAAAGCAUCUAAGUGGGAAGCCCACCUCAAGAUGAGUGUUCUCAUGGAGUAAUCCAGUAAGGUCACGGGAAGACGACCCGUUGAUAGGCGGUAGGUGGAAGUUCAGCAAUGGAUGAAGCCGAGCCGUACUAACAGACCGAGGGCUUGACC
This 1351-nucleotide ribosomal RNA is filed under the name metagenome. RNAcentral describes it as "bacterial LSU rRNA". It matches the Rfam family "Bacterial large subunit ribosomal RNA", at positions 1564 to 2925 of the family's 2925-position model. The record is from RNAcentral.